CCUACGGGAGGCAGCAGUGGGGAAUAUUGCACAAUGGGGGAAACCCUGAUGCAGCGACGCCGCGUGAGCGAUGAAGUAUUUCGGUAUGUAAAGCUCUAUCAGCAGGGAAGAAAAUGACGGUACCUGACUAAGAAGCCCCGGCUAACUACGUGCCAGCAGCCGCGGGAAUACGUAGGGGGCAAGCGUUAUCCGGAUUUACUGGGUGUAAAGGGAGCGUAGACGGUCCUGCAAGCCAGAUGUGAAAGCCCGGGGCUCAACCCCGGGACUGCAUUUGGAACUGUAAGGCUAGAGUGUAGGAGAGGCAGGCGGAAUUCCUAGUGUAGCGGUGAAAUGCGUAGAUAUUAGGAGGAACACCAGUGGCGAAGGCGGCCUGCUGGACGAUGACUGACGUUGAGGCUCGAACGCGUGGGGAGCAAACAGGAUUAGAUACCCUAGUAGUC
Molecule: ribosomal RNA, 440 nt
Filed under: uncultured bacterium
Lineage: Bacteria
Description: partial 16S ribosomal RNA
Rfam family: Bacterial small subunit ribosomal RNA
Source: RNAcentral